AACAUUGUUCGGUGGGUUUGUUUUUCAAUUGAAAUUGCUGGGUUUGAUUUUUAUUAAAACCCAAAGUCCUCUCUCUUGGAAAUACAGAAAGCCAAACUGAAAGGAAUAUAACCCAGAAACAGCUCCCAAAAGCUAAAUCACAUUGACCACAAAUCAAGUAAAUAUCCAGAUUUUAUCCAAAAAAAAAAAUCCAGAUUAGAAAUGGCCAAAAAAAUAAUAAUAAUAAUAAACAGCAAUUCCCAUCGUGACCAGCGAUUUGGGUUAGUUGGGGCCAAUCUUUUUUCUUUUUUCUUUUUCAUUUUCUCACGAUUUCUCGGAAACCAAACGAUGGGGAGAGCUUGAACCACCUGUUCCACUCUCUCUACCUUGCCACCGCCGCAAUCUAACCACCGACGAGACCAAACCUCUGUAGCGCCGAUCAGUCGUCGCAUGACUCAACCACCCAACAAGGACUGCAGAAGUAGUCGCCAUUGAGGAUUUUCUUCAGGUCGUCGGAGAUGCACCAUUGGGUUGGAGUCCAUUGCCACUGCUACUGUUAGGAUUGGUGAAGGCAGAAGUGAUGGGUUUCUUUUAAUGAUGAGUUGUAGCUGCUACUGGUGUCUGGUGAUGAGUUUCAUUUUGGGUUGGAGAUGGGUUGUGGCUACUAUUAGUGAUGGUAUUAAGAGUCUAAGUAAAAUCCCACAGCAUGUAGCAGCUACUGAUAAGAGUCCACAGCAUGUAGCAGCUACUGAUGUGAGAUGCAUCAGCCAAGCUACAAGGGUAGCAGGCAGUGCAGCCAUUGCUAAUGACAAGUGUGUUGUUCAAGUCACGAAGGCAGCUGUUGCUGAUAAGGAGUGCAUCUCUCAGAGCACAAGGAUUGCAUCAAAUGGUUUGAUGAGCACAGAAGUAUUGGAAAUGCUUGAAGCUAUGCCAGAUCACGAUUUCUUCAUCUAAUAGCAUUAAAGCAGUUAGUUCCGCAAAUCCAGGAGUCCUUUGCUCCUGGAUUGCCACGUGUACAGAUUCUAGAAGAUUUCAAGUAACAGAAUUUGGCGCCAAUUGUAGGGCGGUUAUGUUUACUGUGUAUAUAAAAACAGAGUAUAGUGAUGUAUUAUUCAUUCAUUCCAUUUCUUGUAAUUUUCUUCUCCAUCAAUGAAAUGCUCUCAAUUCUAUUUA
This is a long non-coding RNA of Quercus robur (English oak), 1152 nucleotides long. RefSeq lists it as uncharacterized. The transcript has 2 exons. Lineage: Eukaryota; Viridiplantae; Streptophyta; Magnoliopsida; Fagales; Fagaceae. The record is from RefSeq and is a predicted model, not a curated record.